GUCUCAGUUCGGAUCGGAGUCUGCAACCCGAACUCCGUGAAGCUGGAUUCGCUAGUAAUCGCGCAUCAGCCAUGGCGCGGUGAAUACGUUCCCGGGCCUUGUACACACCGCCCGUCACACCAUGGGAGCCGGUAAUACCCGAAGUCAGUAGUCCAACCACGUGAGGACGCUGCCGAAGGUAGGAUUGGCGACUGGGGUGAAGUCGUAACAAGGUAAC
This 217-nucleotide ribosomal RNA is filed under the name uncultured bacterium. RNAcentral's name for it is "partial 16S ribosomal RNA". It matches the Rfam family "Bacterial small subunit ribosomal RNA", at positions 1285 to 1500 of the family's 1533-position model. The record is from RNAcentral.